RNAcentral lists this long non-coding RNA (1563 nucleotides) under Homo sapiens (human). RNAcentral's name for it is "HSALNT0232965". Lineage: Eukaryota; Metazoa; Chordata; Mammalia; Primates; Hominidae. The record is from RNAcentral.
UUUUUUUUUUUGAGAUGGAGUCUGGCUGUAUUGUCCAGGCUGGAGUGCAGCGGUGCAAUCUCAGCUCACUGCAACCUCUGCCUCCUGGGUUCAAGCGAUUCUUGUGUCUCAGCCUCCCGAGUAGUUGGGAUUUACAAGUCAAUUUUUUUUUUAACUAAAACUACAGAAUCUAUUUUUCUUGGUCUCAUACUCAGUUUUUUAUGUAGUCACUUAGUAAAUAACCUAAUUUGCUUGUUUUCUCCACACUAAUUUUAGGGUGAAUUCCUCAUUUCGCUUUUCAGAUCAUGGGGUGAGGGGGAUGGUUGUGUGUGUGAGGAACUGAGGAAUCAGAUGGAAAACAAUGCCUCUGCUCCUUUGAGUAUAAUCAGUGAUAUUUGAGGUUCCAGGGUUAAAUGCUGCAUUUUUAUUUCUGACGUUCGUACCUUAAAAUAUUUGAAGAAAAUAAACUAUUUCAUUGUUGUCAGAAAUGUAGUUCUUUUAUUUUCCUGCCCCUCUCCCCUUUCUAAGUUUCUAGAAUGUUGAGUAGGUAGAACAUAGAUGCUCCUUUUAGGAUCUUUUGCUGUGGAAUGGUCCACAGGUGAAUGGCAGUAAUAUCUUAAAAUGAUUGGCCCCCUCUCUCUUUGUUUCCAUCAAGGAUACAGUUGAUAUAUUAGUUGGAUGGCAUAUAGAUCAUACUCAGAAACCUUCGCUCACGCAGCAGGUAUCUGGGUGGUUGCAGAGUUUGGAGCCAUUUUGGGUAGCUGAUCUUGCAUUUUCUACGACUCUUCUUGGUCAUUUUCUAGAAGACAUGGAAGCAUAUGCUGAGGACCUCAGCCAUGUGGCCUCUGGGGAAUCAGUGGAUGAAGACGUCCCUCCUCCAUCAGUGUCAUUACCAAAGCUGACUGCGCUUCUCCGGGUAUUUAGUACUGUGGUGAGGAGCAUUGGGGAACGCUUCAGCCCAAUUCGGGUCCUCCGAUUACUGAGGCAUACGUAACAGAUAUUCUGUACAGAGUAAUGAGAUGUGUGACGGCUGCAAACCAGGUGUUUUUUUCUGAGGCUGUGUUGACAGCUGCUAAUGAGUGUGUUGGUGUUUUGCUCGGCAGCUUGGAUCCUAGCAUGACUAUACAUUGUGACAUGGUCAUUACAUAUGGAUUAGACCAACUGGAGAAUUGCCAGACUUGUGGUACCGAUUAUAUCAUCUCAGUCUUGAAUUUACUCAUGCUGGUAUGUGAAUUAUUCUUUUCCUUUUUAAUGUGUUGGUUUAUUCAGGCCCUUAAAUCGAUAUGUAAGAAAUUAAGGGCUUUGUCUGGGUAUGGUGGCUUAUGCUUGUAAUCCCAGCACUUUGGGAGGCCAAAGCAGAAGGAUUGCUGGCAUCCAGGAAUUCUGGCACAGCUUGGGCAAUGUAGUGAGACCCCAUCUGUACAAAAAGUCAAAAAUUAGCUUGGUGUAGUGGUGUGCACCUGCAGUCCUAGCUACUCGGGAGGCUGAGGGAGGAGGAUCGAUUAAGCCCAGGAACUUGAGGUUGAAGUGAGCUCUGAUUGUGCCACUGCACUCAGCCAAGGUGACAAAAAAGGCCCUGUCUCC